This 253-nucleotide ribosomal RNA is filed under the name uncultured bacterium. Its description in RNAcentral is "partial 16S ribosomal RNA". It matches the Rfam family "Bacterial small subunit ribosomal RNA", at positions 524 to 776 of the family's 1533-position model. The record is from RNAcentral.
UACGUAGGUGGCAAGCGUUGUCCGGAUUUACUGGGCGUAAAGAGCGCGCAGGCGGUCUCUUAAGUCUGAUGUGAAAGCCCACGGCUCAACCGUGGAGGGUCAUUGGAAACUGGGAGACUUGAGUGCAGAAGAGAAGAGCGGAAUUCCACGUGUAGCGGUGAAAUGCGUAGAGAUGUGGAGGAACACCAGUGGCGAAGGCGGCUCUUUGGUCUGUAACUGACGCUGAGGCGCGAAAGCGUGGGGAGCAAACAGG